This 1063-nucleotide non-coding RNA is filed under the name Globisporangium ultimum DAOM BR144. RNAcentral's name for it is "Pythium ultimum DAOM BR144 Bacterial large subunit ribosomal RNA". It matches the Rfam family "Bacterial large subunit ribosomal RNA", at positions 692 to 1899 of the family's 2925-position model. The record is from Rfam by way of RNAcentral. Lineage: Eukaryota; Oomycota; Peronosporomycetes; Pythiales; Pythiaceae.
GCAAUAUAGUUAUAAAAAUAAGACCCGAAACCGAGUGAUCUAACCAUGAACAGAUUGAAAAAUAGGUAAAACUAUUUGGAGGAUCGAACUCACAUGUGUGGCAAAACAUGGAGAUGAUUUGUGGUUAGGAGUGAAAGGCUAAUCAAACUCGGAGAUAGCUGGUUUUCCGCGAAAUCUAUUGAAGUAGAGCAUUUAAAAUCUUUUUUUGGGGUAGUAGCACUCAUUGAGCUAGGGGGCGUAAAAACUUACUGAACUCUUAGAAACUCCGAAUACAAAAAAAAGUUAUUUAAAUAGACAGACAUUAGGCGCUAAGGUCUAUUGUCAAGAGGGAAACAGCCCAGAUUGAUCGCUAAGGUCUCUAAAUAAUAUUCUAAGUGAAAAAGGAAGUGAAAAAAUAAUUACAACCAGUAGGUAGGCUUGGAAGCAGCCAUCCUUUAAAGAAAGCGUAAUAGCUCAUUGGUCUAGUUUUUUUGCGCCUAAAAUGUAUCGAGACUUAAGAAAUUUACCGAAGCGGCAAGUUUUAUUUAUAAUAAAACGGUAGCGGAACAUUCUGUAUGUUGAUAAAGAUAUGUUGUAAAAUAUAUUGAAGAUAUCAGAAAAGAAAAUGCUGGCAUUAGUAACAAAAAAUAAUGAAUAAGAAUCAUUAUCACCGUAAAUCCAAGGGUUUCUAUGUUAAAAUGUAUUUCAUAGAGUGAAACGGCCCCUAAGAAAGAUUUGACGAAAGCAAAUUUUGAUGGGAUAAUUUUUAAAUUAAAUUUUUUAAAAAAAGUGACAAAAAGUUUUACUUUUUCAGGAAAUAGCUUUUUUUAAAAAAAACCGUACCCUAAACCGACACAGGUGGAUAGGUCGAGUAGACUAAGGUGGAUGAGAGAAUUAUAUUGAAGGAACUCGGCAAAAUGACUCUGUAACUUCGGGAUAAAGAGUACCUAAAUAUUAUAUUUAGGUGUCACAAAAUAGGGGGUUGCGACUGUUUAAUAAAAACUUAGGACUCUGCUAAAUGGUAACAUGAUGUAUAGGGUCUGACACCUGCUGAGACACGCAACAGGGGAUAGGCAAGGCACAC